CCUACGGGUGGCAGCAGUGGGGAAUAUUGCACAAUGGAGGAAACUCUGACGCAGCGACGCCGCGUGAAGGAAGAAGGUUUUCGGUAUGUAAACUUUUAUCAGUAGGGAAGAAAAAGAAGGUUCCCGAAGAAGAAGCCUCGGCCUACUACGGGCCAGCAGCCCCGGUUAUAUGUAAGGGGCAAGCGUUAUCCGGAUUUACUGGGCGUAAAGGGGGCGUAGGCGGGGUAGUAAGUUAGGAGUGAAAGCCCGGGGUUCAACUCCGGGACUGCAGUUGAAACUGGGUGUCUUGAUUGCUGGAGAGGAAAGUGGAAUUCCUAGUGUAGCGGUGAAAUGCGUAGAUAUUAGGAGGAACACCAGUGGCGAAGGCGGCUUACUGGACUGUAAAUGACGUUGAGGCACGAAAGCGUGGGGAGCGAACAGGAUUAGAUACCCGGGUAGUC
This 440-nucleotide ribosomal RNA is filed under the name uncultured bacterium. RNAcentral's name for it is "partial 16S ribosomal RNA". It matches the Rfam family "Bacterial small subunit ribosomal RNA", at positions 338 to 795 of the family's 1533-position model. The record is from RNAcentral.